GAUGAAGAACGUUGCCAGUUGCGAUAAGUAGUGUGAAUUGCAAAAUAAAAUUAAUCAUAGAAUUUUUGAACGCAAAUUGCACUCUCUGGAUAUCCGGAGAGUUGACUGGCAACUGGCAACUUCUUCAUCACAAAUUUCUGGAUAUCCGGAGAGUACGUCUGUCUGAGCGUCG
This 172-nucleotide ribosomal RNA is filed under the name Clytia hemisphaerica. RNAcentral describes it as "5.8S ribosomal RNA". It matches the Rfam family "5.8S ribosomal RNA", at positions 35 to 154 of the family's 154-position model. Rfam says of the family: 5.8S ribosomal RNA (5.8S rRNA) is a component of the large subunit of the eukaryotic ribosome. The record is from RNAcentral. Lineage: Eukaryota; Metazoa; Cnidaria; Hydrozoa; Leptothecata; Clytiidae.